CCCCUUGUGGUGUAGUUGGAUAUCACAUUCGACUGUAAUUGGAAAAUUGUUUAUCGAAAGGUCACCGGCUCGAUUCCGGUCGAGGGGA
Coniochaeta sp. 2T2.1 is the source of this 88-nucleotide non-coding RNA. Lineage: Eukaryota; Fungi; Ascomycota; Sordariomycetes; Coniochaetales; Coniochaetaceae. The record is from the annotation of a GenBank genome assembly.